GGCUUAGAAGAAGAGCGUGGAGUCAGCACUGAAGGGAGGUGCUGUGCAGUGCCUGUGGGGCAGGCGCACGCUGAGCCUGGCAGCGCUUCCCACGGCGGAACCCAUCAAUUAUGUCCAUUAAUCUCUUAAAGUGAGUGAUUCUUGAUUGUUCUAACACAGCACCAAAGACUAAUGCUGAGGACAGCCCUGAGCUCCACCUCACACUCUGCCCUCCGGACCGAGCUCCAGCCAGGGUGCUUGGAACUGCCCUGGUGUGCACACCAAGCUGCGCAUCCAUGAUGAAGAAGUAGAGGCAACAAUGUAAAAGCCUUUAUGCUGUAAUUUUAAAGAUCAUAAACUUCAGGCAGUAAUAUUUUCUGGGUCCAGAGCUGUGCUUCUAAAGCAGGUCGUGUUGAGCUGGGUGUGGUGGCACACACCUGUAAUCCCAGCGCUCAAGACGCUGAGACAGGAGGAUUGUUGCAAGUUCAAGAUCAGCUUGGGCUACAAAGUGAGCUCAAAUCCAGCCUGAACUGCAUAGUGAGGCCUUGUCUCAAAAAGACAAAAAAACACAAACACUGGAUUGUGCUGAAAAUUACAUGGCAAUCACGAUGAACUGCCAAUGCUGAGUUGGUGAACCUAUAUUCUGUGCUUGUAGGAGGUUAAUAAGUGAAGCUGAUGCUGUUUGCCCAAGAUUUCUUUUUGAACAGCAAGGUCUAGAGAAUUAAAAGUUAGACUUGUAUAAACAUGGGCCAUUGUAAACCACAGUAGUCUAGAAAAGUUUAAUUUUUAAAAAAAGUGAUACGUUUAGCCUGUUGAAAUAAAACCCAGGAGGACCCUAAGGGUUCUCAGCUCUGUUCUUCUUGUGAGGAACAUGAUCUAAAGAUUUCCUUUUGUUUAUUGGUGUAUCAAUUUUCUUAUUCUCCAGUUGGUGUGAUAUCUUUUACCCCCAAGAAACCUAGCACAUUUAUUUUGCUGAAUGAGGGCAGAUAAGGGUUAUGACUGUUAUUUGGAAAAAUGAAUUAGAGAGCAAAAAGCUUGAAAAGGUUAUAUUACUGGGAAAUGCAUUGAAUGAGAAUAAGAUCAGGUUGAAAUCAAGAAUGAAUCAGUGGAACAUGGACUGUUAAGCGUUUGAUGAGAUUUCUUAGACACUGACAUGCGGGUAACCCGACAAGAGGAAUGGGAGAAAAGGUCAGUUUGAAUCUUUAAAUGAUUUGGGAAACUGGGAGUAAGAAAUAGUAUAUCACAGACUUGUACUAAAAUUUUUAUUUAUUUUAUGGGGGAAAUAGAUCAGAAGUUGAGUAUGAAAGAAGUUUCUUUAUUUGCAGUUUUUAAAACUAGAAGAAAUUGGGGUUGCAGAGAGGACAACUAGAUACCAAUUCCUUCCACAGUACAGGGUGAGAGACAAAAAGAACCAGGGUUACACACACACACACACACUCUCACACACACACACACACACUCUCACACACACACACACACACACACACACACACACACACACACACAGAGCCUACUAUGAGCAGCCGGCUAAUCUGGAGAAACAGAGGCUGAGAUGAUAGCUAUUGAGGUAAAAUACAACUUACUGCUUACAGUGUUUGGUGUUUCAUUGGCUUUGAAGGCCUGAAGCUGGUAGUCUGAUCAUCUAUUCAGAGGUUAACAAUACACAGGACAGCAUCUAUGGGGAAUCUCCUUCUGAAGGUGGUAGCUAUUGUUAAUUCCCUAUUAUCUUCUUUUAAAGCCCUGUAUCAUUUUCAUUAUUUUGUUUGAUAUAGUUUUAUUCUGUUUUGUCUUGUUUGAUUUUGUUAUAUCUAAAGGCAAGGGCAGCGAUUUCAAAGAUAACAAAAUAUAUUAUGGUAGCUACUUUGGAUUUACUAUUAUUUUGUUUUGAAGUCCUGUAUUGCAUUCAUUGUUUUGUUUUUAUUGAUUCUAUUCUGUUCUGUUUUGUUUGAUUUUACUGUGUCUGAUGGUAUGGACAACUGUUCUGAAGACAAGAGGCAUCAUGGUAACCACUGUUGAUUUCCUAUUAUCUUGUUUUGAAACCCUGUAUCAUUUACAUUGUUUUGUUUUGAUUGGCUUUAUUUUGUUUUAUUUUGCUUGGUUUUAUUUUCUUUAAAAUAAAUUUUUUUUUAAAAAUGA
Long non-coding RNA from Cavia porcellus (domestic guinea pig), 2115 nucleotides. RefSeq lists it as uncharacterized. The record is from RefSeq and is a predicted model, not a curated record. Lineage: Eukaryota; Metazoa; Chordata; Mammalia; Rodentia; Caviidae. The transcript has 3 exons.